GCCCGGAUGGUGGAACUGGUAGACACGCAGGACUUAAAAUCCUGUGACCAUUGCGGUCGUGCGGGUUCAAGUCCCGCUCCGGGUACUA
RNAcentral lists this transfer RNA (88 nucleotides) under Flavobacteriales bacterium. RNAcentral describes it as "tRNA-Leu". It matches the Rfam family "tRNA". From Rfam's summary of the family: Transfer RNA (tRNA) molecules are approximately 80 nucleotides in length. Their secondary structure includes four short double-helical elements and three loops (D, anti-codon, and T loops). The record is from RNAcentral. Lineage: Bacteria; Pseudomonadati; Bacteroidota; Flavobacteriia; Flavobacteriales.